GGCUGGAAACUUCUCCCAAAAAGCCAGGCCCGUUCAGCUGGGAAUCCCCACAAAAUGAGAAUGAGGGGAUUGAAAGUGUUUUUGUUCGAAGAGCUCUGGCAUGGAGGCCACAGUCCUUCCAUGAAAUGUAACAAAGCGGGGCAGUUCACUCCUGAACACUUACCCGCACUGUACAGCAGAAGCUGCUUGGGAUGAGCGACUGCUACAGGAGGAAAAUGAAGUAGGAAACUACAUAAAAAUCCAGCUUUCCUGUGAGUAUAAAAAAGGAAGAAAAGGGUUAUAGACAAGAGAUGCCCGAGAGAGACAAGAAUUAUGAAGACAACCAAAUGUUCUCUAUCAGCCAAAGCCAAAAUGAACAUGUGCCUUGUACUAAGAAAUCCCAGGAUUGUCACAACUUGUGCCAGCUGUUGAGGUUGUGACACCUGUGCCAGCAUCGCCAGCUCUGCCCACUGUCAUCUGUUCCAACUGUUCCAUCUGCACUGUUUGUACCAAUUCUCCCAUUUCUGCAUCUGCACCUUCUGCAGAAACGUUUCCAACAA
This is a long non-coding RNA of Homo sapiens (human), 539 nucleotides long. RefSeq lists it as uncharacterized. NCBI's taxonomy places the organism in Eukaryota, Metazoa, Chordata, Mammalia, Primates, Hominidae. The record is from RefSeq and is a predicted model, not a curated record. The transcript has 3 exons.